RNAcentral lists this ribosomal RNA (252 nucleotides) under uncultured bacterium. RNAcentral describes it as "partial 16S ribosomal RNA". It matches the Rfam family "Bacterial small subunit ribosomal RNA", at positions 524 to 776 of the family's 1533-position model. The record is from RNAcentral.
UACGGAGGAUGCGAGCGUUAUCCGGAUUUAUUGGGUUUAAAGGGUGCGUAGGCGGGCUUUUAAGUCAGUGGUAAAAAUUCGGGGCUCAACCCCGUCCGGCCGUUGAAACUGGGGGUCUUGAGUGGGCGAGAAGAAGGCGGAAUGCGUGGUGUAGCGGUGAAAUGCAUAGAUAUCACGCAGAACCCCGAUUGCGAAGGCAGCCUUCCGGCGCCCUACUGACGCUGAGGCACGAAAGUGCGGGGAUCGAACAGG